Molecule: long non-coding RNA, 1976 nt
Filed under: Gossypium barbadense (sea-island cotton)
Lineage: Eukaryota; Viridiplantae; Streptophyta; Magnoliopsida; Malvales; Malvaceae
Description: long non-coding RNA (GBAR_LNC010765)
Source: RNAcentral
AUUGGUGUAGUUGGGCGUCAUUAUGCAUCCCCAAGGUCCAAGGGGGCUGGGUUUAGAGACUUAUCGUUUUUUAAUAAUGCCUUGUUGGCAAAGCAAGGGGUGGAAGUUAAUCACCAAUCCCACAAGUUUACUCACGCAAGUAACGAAAUCUAAAUGCUACCCAAGAAGUGACUUUUUGAAUGCUGAAUUAGGGGCUUAUCCUUCGUUUACAUGGAGAAGCAGAUGGGGCGCUCGAAGUAUUUUGGAAUUAGGCAUGGGUUGGAGGAUCGGAGAUGGCAAAUCAGUUAAUAUAUGGAACGAUGCAUGGCUUCUUGGAGAAGGAAAAUUACAGUUUCAGAAUAUAGAUUACAAGUAUACUUUAGUUGCAGAUCUAAUUAACUAUGAAUUUGUUACCUGGAAUGAAGAAACCUUAAGAGGGCUUUUCCCUGAAGAACAAGCAAAGAUAAUUGGCUCCAUCCCCUUAGGGAACACCUUACAACCAGAUACAAAGGUUUGGCGAGGUGACAGGUAGAGGGAAUACAUGACAAAAAAUGGUUACAGACGGUGUGUCAUAGAGGAAUUAAACCUGCUGGGAAAUGAACUGACAACAUAUCUGGAACUAACUAGAAGUUAUUAUACAAAAACUUGGAGCCUAAAGAUUCCCAGCAAGGUACGACUCAAUCUAUGGAGAAUAAUUACAAGUAAUUUCUUGCCUACAUUAAGUAACUUAAAAGCCCGUAGGCUGAGAUAUGUUGCCCUAUGCCCGCUAUGUGGAGAACAAGAUGAGUCAGUUAGCCAUAUUUUUCGAUAUUGCAACAUUACCUCUAGCAAAUGACAGUGACAUUGGUGCCCAUACAUGAAAAUCAAGAAUGGAAACAAUGGUUAGCUGAAACGUUCAAUAUCAAUAAUGCAUAUAAAUGUACAUGCCUAGCAGUAUCGCUAUUGGCAAUAUGGCAUAACAGGAACAAAUACUACCACAAAGGUAUUCGACAAAGAAUAUACGAGAUAGUGGCCUUUAUCAAAGCAUAUAUAACUGAAAUUGACAUGCUAUAGGAAGCACUGAAAUGCAAACAUGUUACAGAGAAAACCCAGUGGGAACCCCCAACAGAAAGUCAAGUAAAAGUCAACUUUGAUACCGCGUUUCAACAACAAAGCAACAAAAUAGUUUCGAAAAUAAUCAUCAGAAAUCAUAUGGGGCUAGUUAUGGGUUCAUGUACUUACUCGAUCAACAACGUUUGAGAUCCGACAACCUCCGAAGCGUAUGCAUGCCUUUAAGGAGUUAUCUUUGCAGAAGAAAUGGGGUUUGGCAAUGUAAUCAUCGAAGAGGACUCAAGAAUCGUCAUAAAAAAGCUACAAAAUCCAGGAAACGACAGAUCAAUUAUUAGGGGUUUUAUAAACGAAAUAAAAGAAAAGUCAAGAAAUUUCUGGAAUAUUGUGUUCCAUUACGUACCGCGAGAAGCCAACGGAGCAGCGCAUGCGAUGGCUGCCUGGGGAAGAAGAAGCGACUCUUCGACUUUCUGGGUGGAAGAAGCUCCAUUAGAGGUUGAACCCAUAGUACUAAGGGAUCAAGGGAGAAGUGCUUAGUGAAAGAAUAUCGGUGGUUGUGGUGGGUUGAGUCCGGAGAAGAGAAAGGGUCAACAUCUGGGAGGAAAAAUUAAGAUGAUGAGGACAAUGGGUUUAUUUACCAGGUCUAUUGUAGAAGAGACAUCCGGUGACGCAGCAACAGAAAGAGAGGGCAAGGGAAAUUAAGUUUUAGGGUUUACAUUUUUCUGUUCUUUAGUUUUAUUUAGGAAAUGAUUGUUUUUCUCACCCGCAGAGGGUUUAGUGGCCUGGUAUCAGGUUUUAGGAAAUGCAAAACCGAGGCACUGUCCAUGGUAUGCAACAAUUGAAUGACAAAUGGUAAUGUUAGAUGGCUUAGUGAUUUUGUAGGAUAAUGUAUUUUUUUUACUUAAUUUUCCUUAUUUCAAUGCAGUGGCCGAAUUAAAUUCAAAAAUAAA